Molecule: long non-coding RNA, 1372 nt
Filed under: Phasianus colchicus (ring-necked pheasant)
Lineage: Eukaryota; Metazoa; Chordata; Aves; Galliformes; Phasianidae
Description: lncRNA (ENSPCLG00000017666.1)
Source: RNAcentral
ACGGCACUGUUUUACCCCCCCCAAAAAAAAAACCCACUCGACGAAGUCGUGCUCCCCCAGGUCGGCGCAGGCGUAGCCAUGGUAGCCGAAAACGUCGCCGGCGAAGAACUUGACGCCGUUUUGGUGGCAGAUGCGGUCGAUGCGCAGCAUGGCGUCCCGCGAGCAGCACGUCACGCACACAGCAUCGAAUUGGGUGAAGAAAGAUUCAGGUUUGCUCUCGACGCUUUCGGGGUCGGCCUUGACAUCCACCAUGGGGUUGAGGUUCUGCGCCCGUUCCAGCGACGCUUCGGCCCUAUUGCGCCCCACAGAGCCAGCAGGGACCAGGAAUUGAGCCCGUGUGUCCUCAGGGGACACCUAAAUGGGAAGAAAUAAGGAAAUUUUGGGGUUACCCAUAAGGAGGUGAAGUCCAGGAGGAGGAAAAUGGGGAUUGUGGGGAGCAGGAAGCGCUCCUGGUCCCCAAAACAGAACAGUUUCCACCUUGAGGUAUCCUAAAAAUGAAGGGAUUUCUCCCAGAAAGAGCGUUUUUUGGAUGCUGAUGCAUGUCCCAAAAUAGAGUGAUUUCUCCCAAAAGAGUGUUUCCGGGAUGAGUGGGUUUGGAUGGCCCAAAAUGGAAUGUUUUCUACCUUCAGGUGACCCAAAACGGAGGGAUUUCCUCACAAAGAGCAUUUUUUUGGAUGUGGGUGCAAGUGUCCCAAAACUGCGUUUUUUGGAAGUGGGUUUGGAUGCCCCAAAAUAGUGUGAUCUUCUCUUUUAGAUGACCCAAAACUGAGUGAUUUCCUCCAAAACAGCGUUUUUUGGAAGUGGGCUAGGUGUCCCCCCCCCCAAAAAAAAAAAAGAGAGCUUAAACCCCCUCCAUAUUGAUCAAUUUCCCUCAAAAAACCAUUUUUAGAGAAAAAAACAAGGUUUAAAUGCCCCAAAACGGAACACUCUCUCCUUCAGGUGCCUCAAAAUGGAAUAUUUUCCCUUUCAGGUGACCCAAAACUGCCCCUUUCUCCCCCAAAAAAACAUAUUUUUCCCUAGCAGUUGGUUCAGGUGCCCCCAGAGGCUCCAAUUUCGCUGUUUUCCCCCCCAAAAAGCCCCCACCUGGUGGUGGUCCAGCAUGGUAAGCGCCCGCACUCCUGCCAGGAUGAGAUUCUUGGCCACCUCUGCGCCGAGACCACGCAGCCCCACCAGCAGCACACGGGAUGCCCGCAGCCUUCAGAUAACAGGAUUUGGGGGAAAAAAACCAUAAAUUGGGGCUGCAGGAGAAGGUCGUGCUGAAAAUUCUCUAAAAAACAGCGUUUCUCCCCUAAAUUUUAGCUAAAAUCUGCAAGUGUGCAGGGCUGAAAGGGUCCCAAUUCCAUCCCCUAAACCUCAAUCCCAGUAAUUCCCG